RNAcentral lists this ribosomal RNA (655 nucleotides) under uncultured Gammaproteobacteria bacterium. RNAcentral's name for it is "bacterial SSU rRNA". It matches the Rfam family "Bacterial small subunit ribosomal RNA", at positions 86 to 743 of the family's 1533-position model. Lineage: Bacteria; Pseudomonadati; Pseudomonadota; Gammaproteobacteria. The record is from RNAcentral.
UGCUGACGAGCGGCGGACGGGUGAGUAAUGCAUAGGAAUCUGCCCGGUAGUGGGGGAUAACCUGGGGAAACCCAGGCUAAUACCGCAUACGUCCUACGGGAGAAAGGGGGCUUUGGCUCCCGCUAUUGGAUGAGCCUAUGUCGGAUUAGCUAGUUGGUGAGGUAAUGGCUCACCAAGGCAACGAUCCGUAGCUGGUCUGAGAGGAUGAUCAGCCACAUCGGGACUGAGACACGGCCCGAACUCCUACGGGAGGCAGCAGUGGGGAAUAUUGGACAAUGGGGGCAACCCUGAUCCAGCCAUGCCGCGUGUGUGAAGAAGGCCCUCGGGUUGUAAAGCACUUUCAGCGAGGAAGAACGCCUGGCGGUUAAUACCCGCCAGGAAAGACAUCACUCGCAGAAGAAGCACCGGCUAACUCCGUGCCAGCAGCCGCGGUAAUACGGAGGGUGCAAGCGUUAAUCGGAAUUACUGGGCGUAAAGCGCGCGUAGGUGGCUUGAUAAGCCGGUUGUGAAAGCCCCGGGCUCAACCUGGGAACGGCAUCCGGAACUGUCAGGCUAGAGUGCAGGAGAGGAAGGUAGAAUUCCCGGUGUAGCGGUGAAAUGCGUAGAGAUCGGGAGGAAUACCAGUGGCGAAGGCGGCCUUCUGGACUGACACUGA